UAGGGAAUCUUCCGCAAUGGACGCAAGUCUGACGGAGCAACGCCGCGUGAGUGAAGAAGGAUUUCGGUUCGUAAAACUCUGUUGUUAGAGAAGAACAGCGCAUAGAGUAACUGUUAUGCGUGUGACGGUAUCUAACCAGAAAGCCACGGCUAACUACGUGCCAGCAGCCGCGGUAAUACGUAGGUCCCGAGCGUUGUCCGGAUUUAUUGGGCGUAAAGCGAGCGCAGGCGGUUAGAAAAGUCUGAAGUGAAAGGCAGUGGCUCAACCAUUGUAGGCUUUGGAAACUGUUUAACUUGAGUGCAGAAGGGGAGAGUGGAAUUCCAUGUGUAGCGGUGAAAUGCGUAGAUAUAUGGAGGAACACCGGUGGCGAAAGCGGCUCUCUGGUCUGUAACUGACGCGGAGGCUCGAAAGCGUGGGGAGCGAACAGG
This 428-nucleotide ribosomal RNA is filed under the name Bacteroidota bacterium. Its description in RNAcentral is "Bacteroidetes bacterium partial 16S ribosomal RNA". It matches the Rfam family "Bacterial small subunit ribosomal RNA", at positions 355 to 776 of the family's 1533-position model. The record is from RNAcentral. Lineage: Bacteria; Pseudomonadati; Bacteroidota.